RNAcentral lists this transfer RNA (98 nucleotides) under Eurydactylodes symmetricus. RNAcentral describes it as "tRNA-Asx". The record is from RNAcentral. Lineage: Eukaryota; Metazoa; Chordata; Lepidosauria; Squamata; Diplodactylidae.
GCCUUGAUCCCAUAAACCUUUAGUCAACAACUAAAAACCCAAACCAGCGGGCUUCAAUCUACUUCUCCCGUUGCGAAAAACGGGAGAAGCCCCGGCAC